UUUUUUCUGAGAAGGAAUCCAUCGGUUUCAUGACAAUGCCCAAGGGGCCAAUGACACAAAAAAGUAUCACAUUUCCAGGCAAUUUUCAACGAGCCCAACUGAUUUGAAUCAAUCAAAAAAUGUCUUGGUGGACAAAACAACUAUUGUCAUCAAUCUGUUGGAGGAUGUGGCUGGUGAGGCCGAGGCCAUGGUUUAAUCAGAAAACCACUUGGUUCCCCAACUACAGUCUGCAUUCCUCGCUGCAGUAACCCAUUUCACUGGUCUUCAAAGAGAAUCUGGACGAAUGCUCUAUGGCUCAGCACAAAUACCUCUAUACCAGGGUUCAGAAAAUAAUUUGUG
Molecule: long non-coding RNA, 339 nt
Filed under: Equus caballus (horse)
Lineage: Eukaryota; Metazoa; Chordata; Mammalia; Perissodactyla; Equidae
Description: lncRNA (ENSECAG00000056053.1)
Source: RNAcentral